RNAcentral lists this ribosomal RNA (323 nucleotides) under uncultured Erysipelotrichaceae bacterium. RNAcentral describes it as "bacterial SSU rRNA". It matches the Rfam family "Bacterial small subunit ribosomal RNA", at positions 28 to 339 of the family's 1533-position model. Lineage: Bacteria; Bacillati; Bacillota; Erysipelotrichia; Erysipelotrichales; Erysipelotrichaceae. The record is from RNAcentral.
GAUGAACGCUGGCGGCGUGCUUAAUACAUGCAAGUCGAACGAAGAAUUAAAUUAGCUUGCUAAUUUAAUUCUUAGUGGCGAACGGGUGAGUAAUACAUAUGCAACCUGCCCAUUUGUCUGGGAUAACUACUAGAAAUGGUGGCUAAUACCGGAUACGUAUCAUGAAGGCAUCUUCUAAAUAUUAAAGUUGGGUUUCCAACGCAGAUGGAUGGGCAUAUGUUGUAUUAGCUUGUUGGUGAGGUAACGGCUCACCAAGGCGAUGAUACAUAGCCGGCCUGAGAGGGUGAACGGCCACAUUGGGACUGAGACACGGCCCAGACUCC